GACGAACGCUGGCGGCGUGCUUAACACAUGCAAGUCGAACGGAAAGGCCCUGCUUUUGUGGGGUGCUCGAGUGGCGAACGGGUGAGUAACACGUGAGUAACCUGCCCUUGACUUUGGGAUAACUUCAGGAAACUGGGGCUAAUACCGGAUAGGAGCUCCUGCUGCAUGGUGGGGGUUGGAAAGUUUCGGCGGUUGGGGAUGGACUCGCGGCUUAUCAGCUUGUUGGUGGGGUAGUGGCUUACCAAGGCUUUGACGCGUAGCCGGCCUGAGGGGGUGACCGGCCAAAUUGGGACUGGGAUACGGCCCAGACUCCUCCGGGAGGCAGCAGAGGGGAAUAUUGCACAAUGGGAGGAAGCCUGAUGCAGCAACGCCGCGUGCGGGAUGACGGCCUUCGGGUUGUAAUCCGCUUUCGCCUGUGACGAAGCGUGAGUGACGGUAAUGGGUAAAGAAGCACCGGCUAACUACGUG
Molecule: ribosomal RNA, 468 nt
Filed under: uncultured bacterium
Lineage: Bacteria
Description: partial 16S ribosomal RNA
Rfam family: Bacterial small subunit ribosomal RNA
Source: RNAcentral